CUCCAAUAGCGUAUAUUAAAGUUGUUGCAGUUAAAAAGCUCGUAGUUGGAUUUCUGGCAGGAGCGUCCGGUCUCACACUCAGUGCGGGAACUUGGAUGUCUCUGGCCAUCUUUGGGGAUAUCCUGUUUGGCAUUAAGUUGUCGGGCAGGGGAUACCAUCGUUUACUGUGAAAAAAUUAGAGUGUUUAAAGCAGGCUUAUG
Molecule: ribosomal RNA, 200 nt
Filed under: uncultured eukaryote
Lineage: Eukaryota
Description: partial 18S ribosomal RNA
Rfam family: Eukaryotic small subunit ribosomal RNA
Source: RNAcentral